GACGAACGCUGGCGGCGUGCUUAACACAUGCAAGUCGAACGGAAAGGCCCUGCUUUUGCGGGUUGCACGAGUGGCGAACGGGGGAGUAACACAUGAGUAACCUGUACUUGACUUUGUGAUAACAUCAGGAAAAAGGGGCUAAAACCCGGUAGGAGAUCCUGAUGCACGGUGGGGGAUGGAAAGAUUCGGUGGUUUUGGCUGGACUCGCGGCUUCUGAGCUGGAUGGUGGGGUUGUGGAUUACAAAGGCUUUGACGGGUAGCCGGCCUUAGAGGGUGACCGGCCACCUUGGGCCUGCGAGACGCCCCAGUCUCCUAUGGUAGGCAGCAGUCGGGAAUAUUGCACAAUGGGCCGACGCCUGUUGCAGCAACCCCCCGUUCGUAAUGACGGCCUUCGGGUUGUAAACCGCUUUCGAAUGUGACGAAGAGUUAUUGACGGUAAUGGGUAAAAAAGCACCGGCUAACUACGUG
RNAcentral lists this ribosomal RNA (468 nucleotides) under uncultured bacterium. RNAcentral's name for it is "partial 16S ribosomal RNA". It matches the Rfam family "Bacterial small subunit ribosomal RNA", at positions 28 to 507 of the family's 1533-position model. The record is from RNAcentral.